RNAcentral lists this transfer RNA (69 nucleotides) under Stegodyphus mimosarum. It matches the Rfam family "tRNA". Rfam says of the family: Transfer RNA (tRNA) molecules are approximately 80 nucleotides in length. Their secondary structure includes four short double-helical elements and three loops (D, anti-codon, and T loops). Further hydrogen bonds mediate the characteristic L-shaped molecular structure. tRNAs have two regions of fundamental functional importance: the anti-codon, which is responsible for specific mRNA codon recognition, and the 3' end, to which the tRNAs corresponding amino acid is attached (by aminoacyl-tRNA synthetases). tRNAs cope with the degeneracy of the genetic code in two manners: having more than one tRNA (with a specific anti-codon) for a particular amino acid; and 'wobble' base-pairing, i.e. permitting non-standard base-pairing at the 3rd anti-codon position. The record is from Rfam by way of RNAcentral. Lineage: Eukaryota; Metazoa; Arthropoda; Arachnida; Araneae; Eresidae.
GCCUUCGUGGUGUAGCGGUGAAUACGACGCGUAUUCGAGAAGUCCGUGGUUCGAGUCCCGGCGAGGGCA